Molecule: ribosomal RNA, 255 nt
Filed under: Escherichia coli
Lineage: Bacteria; Pseudomonadati; Pseudomonadota; Gammaproteobacteria; Enterobacterales; Enterobacteriaceae
Description: partial 23S ribosomal RNA
Rfam family: Bacterial large subunit ribosomal RNA
Source: RNAcentral
CUUGACACUGAACAUUGAGCCUUGAUGUGUAGGAUAGGUGGGAGGCUUUGAAGUGUGGACGCCAGUCUGCAUGGAGCCGACCUUGAAAUACCACCCUUUAAUGUUUGAUGUUCUAACGUUGACCCGUAAUCCGGGUUGCGGACAGUGUCUGGUGGGUAGUUUGACUGGGGCGGUCUCCUCCUAAAGAGUAACGGAGGAGCACGAAGGUUGGCUAAUCCUGGUCGGACAUCAGGAGGUUAGUGCAAUGGCAUAAGC